GGGUACUCGAGCGGCGAACGGGUGAGUAACACGUGAGUAACCUGCCCCUGACUCUGGGAUAAGCCUGGGAAACUGGGUCUAAUACCGGAUACGACCAUUUCUCGCAUGGGAUGGUGGUGGAAAGUUUUUUCGGUUGGGGAUGGGCUCGCGGCCUAUCAGCUUGUUGGUGGGGUGAUGGCCUACCAAGGCGACGACGGGUAGCCGGCCUGAGAGGGCGACCGGCCACACUGGGACUGAGACACGGCCCACACUCCUACGGGAGGCAGCAGUGGGGAAUAUUGCGCAAUGGGCGGAAGCCUGACGCAGCGACGCCGCGUGGGGGAUGACGGCCUUCGGGUUGUAAACCUCUUUCAGCAGGGACGAAGUUGACGUGUACCUGUAGAAGAAGCGCCGGCUAACUACGUGCCAGCAGCCGCGGUAAUACGUAGGGCGCAAGCGUUGUCCGGAAUUAUUGGGCGUAAAGAGCUCGUAGGUGGCUUGUCGCGUCUGCCGUGAAAGCCCGUGGCUUAACUACGGGUCUGCGGUGGAUACGGGCAGGCUAGAGGCUGGUAGGGGCAAGCGGAAUUCCUGGUGUAGCGGUGAAAUGCGCAAAUAUCAGGAGGAACACCGGUGGCGAAGGCGGCUUGCUGGGCCAGUUCUGACGCUGAGGAGCG
This 653-nucleotide ribosomal RNA is filed under the name Microbispora sp. SBP6R6. Its description in RNAcentral is "bacterial SSU rRNA". It matches the Rfam family "Bacterial small subunit ribosomal RNA", at positions 85 to 755 of the family's 1533-position model. Lineage: Bacteria; Bacillati; Actinomycetota; Actinomycetes; Streptosporangiales; Streptosporangiaceae. The record is from RNAcentral.